Molecule: transfer RNA, 67 nt
Filed under: Microrhagus sp. ZM-2022
Lineage: Eukaryota; Metazoa; Arthropoda; Insecta; Coleoptera; Eucnemidae
Description: tRNA-Ser
Source: RNAcentral
GAAAUAUAUCAUUUAAAAGAAAGCUUCUAACUUUACUUUUUAGUAGUGAAACUCUAUUAAUAUUUCU